GUUGAGCCAUGGACAUCGCAGUGAUGAUAUUGCAGCGUCUAGGCAUAAACAAUUUGUUGUUGCUAUUCAAAGUCAAAUAUCAGAUGUUGAAGCAGCAUUAAGGGAAGCUUUCACUGAGGAAGGAAAGCAACCUCUUCAAUGGGUGACUCUGAAUAAAGAAGAAUGUGAUGAUUUGGCCUUAUUUCUAUCAGGAACUCCCCAAACUCCACAAAUUGUGAAAGAUAAUUCCACUGCACAUAGACUUUUGGAAUGUCCUUUCAUGGAGAUUCAUCAUACGAGAAAAGAUGC
This 288-nucleotide unclassified non-coding RNA is filed under the name Hevea brasiliensis (rubber tree). Lineage: Eukaryota; Viridiplantae; Streptophyta; Magnoliopsida; Malpighiales; Euphorbiaceae. The record is from RNAcentral.